AUUCCAAGCUUGAGUUUGAUCCUGGCUCAGAUUGAACGCUGGCGGCAUGCCUUACACAUGCAAGUCGAACGGUAACAGGUCUUCGGAUGCUGACGAGUGGCGAACGGGUGAGUAAUACAUCGGAACGUGCCCGAUCGUGGGGGAUAACGAAGCGAAAGCUUUGCUAAUACCGCAUACGAUCUACGGAUGAAAGCGGGGGAUCUUCGGACCUCGCGCGGACGGAGCGGCCGAUGGCAGAUUAGGUAGUUGGUGGGAUAAAAGCUUACCAAGCCGACGAUCUGUAGCUGGUCUGAGAGGAUGAUCAGCCACACUGGGACUGAGACACGGCCCAGACUCCUACGGGAGGCAGCAGUGGGGAAUUUUGGACAAUGGGCGCAAGCCUGAUCCAGCCAUGCCGCGUGCAGGAUGAAGGCCUUCGGGUUGUAAACUGCUUUUGUACGGAACGAAAAGGUGCCUUCUAAUAAAGGGCGCUCAUGACGGUACCGUAAGAAUAAGCACCGGCUAACUACGUGCCAGCAGCCGCGGUAAUACGUAGGGUGCGAGCGUUAAUCGGAAUUACUGGGCGUAAAGCGUGCGCAGGCGGUUUUGUAAGACAGAGGUGAAAUCCCCGGGCUCAACCUGGGAACUGCCUUUGUGACUGCAAGGCUGGAGUGCGGCAGAGGGGGAUGGAAUUCCGCGUGUAGCAGUGAAAUGCGUAGAUAUGCGGAGGAACACCGAUGGCGAAGGCAAUCCCCUGGGCCUGCACUACGCUCUCAC
This 756-nucleotide ribosomal RNA is filed under the name uncultured bacterium. RNAcentral's name for it is "bacterial SSU rRNA". It matches the Rfam family "Bacterial small subunit ribosomal RNA", at positions 1 to 752 of the family's 1533-position model. The record is from RNAcentral.